AUUGCUGCUUUUGGCACUCUACUCUUUUCUUUGGACCACACCUCGCCUCAAAACAAGUACUCACCUCUGGCUAUUUGAACUAAGUCACUAACCACAUCUGCAGUAAUAGGUCUGAAUGCGCUAGAUCGUACAAAACACUUACUCGCCCCCCAAGAGAUUCCUACUAAUAGAUCUAAGUAAAGAUACAACAUCUACUAGAUCUAAGUAAAGAUACAACAUACCCUUCUUUUGAACCGGAACAGAAACAUUAUUUCCUCGCACCUACCGAAGAAUGGGAUUGACUACUUGAUGAACACUAGUGGUGACUUGGCCCCGGCAAAAAGGCUGUUUUUGUUGAACUCUGGCUCAUAUACUUCUUAUACUU
This 364-nucleotide long non-coding RNA is filed under the name Musa acuminata (dwarf banana). RNAcentral describes it as "long non-coding RNA (MACU_LNC008203)". The record is from RNAcentral. Lineage: Eukaryota; Viridiplantae; Streptophyta; Magnoliopsida; Zingiberales; Musaceae.